AAUUACUUAGUAUAUAUGUAGUACUUUCGUUUUCGACACGAUAAGGAGAGGUAUUCAGUAAUUU
Molecule: transfer RNA, 64 nt
Filed under: Geomydoecus aurei
Lineage: Eukaryota; Metazoa; Arthropoda; Insecta; Psocodea; Trichodectidae
Description: tRNA-Arg
Source: RNAcentral